CAAAACAUAAGUGUGAGAAGCGAACCCUAAAUUUUACGAUUAUGUCUCCGAAUAUGAGAUCCAUCUUUGCUCAGGUACGUCAAAAAUCAGUACCGAUGGGGAGUACCCGCAGUUUCUGUUCAUCCUCAACCCACAGUGAAGAGUCGAAGAAAAUAGCUAUAGUUACUUUUGUUGUAACUCGAACCCUAGGAUUUGCUUCCGGAUAUCUCAUUGGUACGUGUAGAGAGGGAGAGUGGCAGAGAUUUUUAUUGUCUUAAUCAGCUUUUAAUACUUUUUCUUUGGUGUGUGAUUGUAUCAAGGCCAUUAUCUAAUUGGUGAUCUUGAUAAGUUAUAUGAGGAGCGGAUGCAAGAGGUACAAAAUGAAAUCAAAGAAGCACUUGAUGUGACCAUAAUUGCUAUAAUAUCU
Long non-coding RNA from Brassica napus (rape), 406 nucleotides. RefSeq lists it as uncharacterized. Lineage: Eukaryota; Viridiplantae; Streptophyta; Magnoliopsida; Brassicales; Brassicaceae. The transcript is spliced from 3 exons. The record is from RefSeq and is a predicted model, not a curated record.